AUAUAUAUUAUCAGACCAACGAAUGCUGUUUCUACACUUUCACGCGCAGUCAUGCCAGUGGCGCGAAAACUAACGUACUCAAAAAUCUAACAAACUGUGUAAAGCGCUUUUAAAGAUACAUUCUGUUACUGUACAUUUAUAAGUAACACUUUCAAACCAUUUUAUGUCUAUAUACUCAGUCUCUUGUUAAUAUAUGAGCUAACCUAUUUUAGUCUUAAAUAUUGCCAAUAUAUAACAAACGAGUAAAUAUAAGUUGAACUAGCUUAGCUAUAUGGCUAAAAGAAAUGUGGACCACGAAUUAUCUGUCAUCACAAACUGAAACGGAUGAUUUUGACCUGUUUCCGCCUUUCGCAAGGCGAUCAAAGAAAGUGACUCGUUACAAUGAGGAGACUGUGUUACCUGUGCAGCCUCAACAUGACGAGACUUUCUGGAAGACAGCUGUGCCAAUAUCACCUGAGGACUUGUUCACAUAUGAACCCUUUCUUGCUUCAGCCCUGUGCUCAAAAUCACCUUUUGGGAUGGUGAGCAGACUUAAAAAAGUGAGUACAAGCCUGACUCAUGAGAAUCUGCCACAUCCUUCACAGCUGAUGUGUAGAAUGAGAAGAUAUCACAGACGACAGAAACACACUCCAAGUGUUCUGCAACAUAUAGGAGAACUCAGGAUGAAACAGCGCCAUAUAAAUGAGCUGAAGGGGGACAAAUGGUGGGGUGCCACAGCUGUGCCAAGGCCGGAAGACGGCAGCGGUUCACAGAAACUACCUGAGGGUGGAGAUGAGCAGCUUCUCGGUCCUGCAGCUGGUGUUAACUUCAGUGCUAUGCUAAUGGACAAUCCUGACGUGACCAUGACGAUGCCUUAUGAAGCUGCUCCAUCACCGACUCUUCUGUUCUCAGAAUAUGAGCAGUUUCAUGACCUUGCUCCAGGAGGGAACCCCAUGAUGGCGUUUGUUUCGGGAACAGCCCAUAGAUCGCUCUUGAUGGCUGAUAAUGUGUGUGCUGCAGUCAAUUCUGGGACAUCUGAUAGGAUCCUCAGGAGCAAUGAUGAUACAAUGUCACUUUUUUACUAGUUUCUGCAGUUUGAGCCAUGUUGGCCUAUGAUUCUACAAUUUUUUUUUUUUUCUUUCUCUUAAUAUCUACUGUUGUUAAGUCUUAAUGCAGUUUUAUAUGUAAGUGCUUUUCCUGGUUGCAAAUGUUUUAGUGUUUAGUCUAGUGUUUAGUGUUAGUCAUUUCAAGUGUGUGAUGCUUGGUUUAUCAAUCUUAAAAAAAAAGACUCUCAGGACCAGACCAAAGUUCAGUUCUGCUUAUAGUCAUUUGCAAAGGAAAUGUAUAUUAAUGGAAAUACAUGUUUACUUUAUUGGCAUUCAUUAUUGUCUGUAUGAAUUAUAAUCUGCUUGCUCAAACAGGUAAAAAGAAACCUAAAUGAUAAAAUAAAAUUGGACCUUUUUUUUUUACA
Cyprinus carpio (common carp) is the source of this 1450-nucleotide long non-coding RNA. NCBI's taxonomy places the organism in Eukaryota, Metazoa, Chordata, Actinopteri, Cypriniformes, Cyprinidae. The record is from Ensembl.